RNAcentral lists this transfer RNA (76 nucleotides) under Kamptonema sp. PCC 6506. RNAcentral's name for it is "tRNA-Pro". It matches the Rfam family "tRNA". Rfam says of the family: Transfer RNA (tRNA) molecules are approximately 80 nucleotides in length. Their secondary structure includes four short double-helical elements and three loops (D, anti-codon, and T loops). Further hydrogen bonds mediate the characteristic L-shaped molecular structure. tRNAs have two regions of fundamental functional importance: the anti-codon, which is responsible for specific mRNA codon recognition, and the 3' end, to which the tRNAs corresponding amino acid is attached (by aminoacyl-tRNA synthetases). tRNAs cope with the degeneracy of the genetic code in two manners: having more than one tRNA (with a specific anti-codon) for a particular amino acid; and 'wobble' base-pairing, i.e. permitting non-standard base-pairing at the 3rd anti-codon position. The record is from RNAcentral. Lineage: Bacteria; Bacillati; Cyanobacteriota; Cyanophyceae; Oscillatoriales; Microcoleaceae. RNAcentral also lists the same sequence under 2 other names.
UCGGGAUGUAGCGCAGCUUGGUAGCGCACCUCGUUCGGGACGAGGGGGUCGCAGGUUCAAAUCCUGUCAUCCCGAU